Molecule: ribosomal RNA, 253 nt
Filed under: uncultured bacterium
Lineage: Bacteria
Description: partial 16S ribosomal RNA
Rfam family: Bacterial small subunit ribosomal RNA
Source: RNAcentral
UACGGGGGGGGCAAGCGUUGUUCGGAAUUACUGGGCGUAAAGGGCUCGUAGGCGGCCAACUAAGUCAGACGUGAAAUCCCUCGGCUUAACCGGGGAACUGCGUCUGAUACUGGAUGGCUUGAGUUCGGGAGAGGGAUGCGGAAUUCCAGGUGUAGCGGUGAAAUGCGUAGAUAUCUGGAGGAACACCGGUGGCGAAGGCGGCAUCCUGGACCGACACUGACGCUGAGGAACGAAAGCCAGGGGAGCAAACGGG